Small nuclear RNA from Sander lucioperca (pikeperch), 109 nucleotides. NCBI's taxonomy places the organism in Eukaryota, Metazoa, Chordata, Actinopteri, Perciformes, Percidae. The record is from Ensembl.
GUCUCUUAAAAGCUUCAUGUCACCUCACAUUAACUGGAAACAAUAUAGAGAUUAGUAUGGACCCUGGUGCAAGGAUGACACGCACUAUCAAAAAGCAUUCACGCUUUUC